This 216-nucleotide long non-coding RNA is filed under the name Lupinus angustifolius (narrow-leaved blue lupine). Its description in RNAcentral is "long non-coding RNA (LANG_LNC003207)". Lineage: Eukaryota; Viridiplantae; Streptophyta; Magnoliopsida; Fabales; Fabaceae. The record is from RNAcentral.
GGUGAGGUCAUGCAUGAGGUAAGCGUACUUGGUUUCUAAGUCAACUUGGCCAACUUGCUGAGUGCACAUCGCCAAGCUCCUUUGUGGCACUGCUAAGCUGCCUGCUUGAGCAGCUUGACCGUGCUUGAUACGGAUGUGGCUUGGUACUUGGUUCUACACUCGGUGCUCCAAGUGCCAUGCUAAGCUGCUCAAUGAGCACUUAGUGUGUGCCAUGCG